UACAGAGGGGGCAAGCGUUGUUCGGAAUUACUGGGCGUAAAGGGUGCGUAGGCGGGUCUUUAAGUCAGGGGUGAAAUCCUGGAGCUCAACUCCAGAACUGCCUUUGAUACUGAGAGCCUUGAGUCCGGAAGAGGUAAGUGGAACUGCGAGUGUAGAGGUGAAAUUCGUAGAUAUUCGCAAGAACACCAGUGGCGAAGGCGGCUUACUGGUCCGGUACUGACGCUGAGGUGCGAAAGCGUGGGGAGCAAACAGG
This 253-nucleotide ribosomal RNA is filed under the name uncultured bacterium. RNAcentral describes it as "partial 16S ribosomal RNA". It matches the Rfam family "Bacterial small subunit ribosomal RNA", at positions 524 to 776 of the family's 1533-position model. The record is from RNAcentral.